AGCGAACGCUGGCGGCAGGCCUAACACAUGCAAGUCGAACGGAUCCUUCGGGAUUAGUGGCGGACGGGUGAGUAACACGUGGGAACGUGCCCUUUGGUUCGGAACAACUCAGGGAAACUUGAGCUAAUACCGGAUGUGCCCUUCGGGGGAAAGAUUUAUCGCCAUUGGAGCGGCCCGCGUCUGAUUAGCUAGUUGGUGAGGUAACGGCCCACCAAGGCGACGAUCAGUGGCUGGUCUGAGAGGAUGAUCAGCCACACUGGGACUGAGACACGGCCCAGACUCCUACGGGAGGCAGCAGUGGGGAAUCUUGCGCAAUGGGCGAAAGCCUGACGCAGCCAUGCCGCGUGAAUGAUGAAGGUCUUAGGAUUGUAAAAUUCUUUCAGCGGGGACGAUAAUGACGGUACCCGCAGAAGAAGCGCCGGCUAACUUCGUG
This 433-nucleotide ribosomal RNA is filed under the name uncultured bacterium. Its description in RNAcentral is "partial 16S ribosomal RNA". It matches the Rfam family "Bacterial small subunit ribosomal RNA", at positions 29 to 507 of the family's 1533-position model. The record is from RNAcentral.